AUAGUGUAUAACCAUAAACAAUCUGAUGUAAAGUAAAUUCCAUCGCAGGUCCUAAUUUCUGUAUCUAAAUUGCUUCCAUUGCUUGCUCAACACACUUUUUAAACCUCAUUUAUAGAAACAUUGUCAUAUUUGUGCAGUGUUUUUGUGGCUCUGAAUGUCCACAGUAUGGCUUUUUGUGAAGGAUGGCUGAUUAAAAGCUCUGGAAGUCCAGAAAUAAGGUCAGAUUUGCCCAAUACUUACUAAAGCCUCCAUUCAAACAGGUUGUUUCGAUGACAAUGAAAUUUGGUAACUUAUUUCUUGAAUUUCCUAUAUAUGUCAGGAAAUCAUAGAAGAGUAGAUAUCUUUUUUUCCCCUGACUUUCCUCUUAGCUCUGUUGUAAAAUUAUCAAGGUCUCCUGGGACGGUUGCUCUGUUUUAUUUAUAUGGGGCACAUGUCGUAUUGGUGGAUAAAGUGAUGGAUCCACAUGCUGAAUGUACUUUUGCAAAGUUCUUUGGCAUCACAGAUGUUCCACAAAUGAGAGAAAACACUUGGAAUAAAUGGCAACAUACAAGUGCAGCUUCCUUUGGCACUUUUCACAUCUGGGAAAUACUGAGUCAGGAAGAGAAAGGAGAUCAGUAGCAUCAGAUGUGGUUCAUCCUAUUUACUGGGUCAUCCUUUUCUAAAUCAAGCCUUAUUGAGUAAUCCAGUGACACAAUACUAGAUGCUUCAGAGAAUAAUGGAAACAUAUUUGGGUCACCAUGGAGUAACUCAUUUGUUUUUUUUUUUUUUUUACUUGGCAUUGCCCACAAGAUGGGAAUUGUCCCAGCUUUGUUCUGUCAGUACAGGAAACACUCAAUAAAUAUUUGGUGAAAUAAAUCCAGGUCAGACUAUGUCCCCAAUGCUGAGAUACAAAAGUAAAUAAGGCACAUUCCAACCCUGGAGAAGUUAAUAGUUUGACAGAAAAAUCAAAGAAGCUAGCAAAAGGGUAUAAUAAAAUGUGAUAGAAGUAAAGUGCUGUGAGAGCCUGGUAAAGAGUAAGAUUAAUUAUUAGGUGGAAUAAGGAGUGUAGUCACAGCAAAGAUGACAUCCUUCAAGAUCCAGUAGGCAGAGAAGCCAAGGGAGACGGGAGAGAGAAGAGGGUGUUCUAGGAAGCAUCUGUGAGGCCUCAAUGAGUGAGAGCACAGUGUAUACUCAUGGAAAUCUAUCUAGUUUAGUUUGGACAAAACAUGAAGAUGCUGAAGGUGGGGGGGGUUGACAGUAAAUUAGGUCUGCAACAGCUGGUUGAGGUUGGCUUGUGAAAAGCAUCAUAAAUCAGACAAAGGAGUUUGAAUUCCAUUUCCCCCACUGAAAACCUCAAUUUUUAACAGCUCCAUGUUGCCUGUCAGACUGGAUUUUCCAAAAGCUGUUCCUGGGCAUGCUAGUUUUAUAAAGUGUUAAUAAGUGUUAAACCAAAACCUCUAUUCAGCUUUCAGUUGAAGGUGGAAACCUGGAGGAGCUUUGUAAUUGUCUGGAGGAGCUAGUAUGGAGCCCAAGGGAGAGAGAAUUUCCUGAUAUGUGUACAGUCUAUCCCUGUCUUAAACUAAAUAACUGCAAAGGUAGACCCCCUAGUUCUAUCUCUCUUUCAAAUGGAUUUUGCCAUUCUGCCCUUCAGCAAAAUAAGACUGGCCUGCACUGAGAAUUAUAGCAGGAAGUUAUUUGAUGCGACUUUUAUGUGCGCUUCAUCUGAAUAGCUGGAUUGUCUUUAUCUUAAAGGCAAUGUGAAUGUUGUCAUUGUCCCUUUUUUGUCAUAAACACCAGGAAGCCAGAGCCAGAUCUGUGGCUCACUUCCCGAGGAGGGUCCUCAGGGCAUGCAUUUGUAGGUAAUAGCUGAACCCAGGAUUUUGUGUGACUUCCUACAUUUGUAUUCUUUUUGCUAAAACACCUUCAUCUAUUUAUUUGAUCAUGUUGCAAGCAUUCUGUAACCUCUCUCUGAUAUUUGGGGCAGGGGGAAGCUGAGAUUAAGGUAGUGAACAUAUAUAUCACUUACCAGAGUGCCUGGCAUACAGUACAUAUGAAAUAAGGUCUUGUUCUUUAAUUUUAUUUUAUCACGGUUUUAAUCCCACCUACUCCACUGCACAGCCCCCAUGUUAACAGAAAUGGAAAGGCAGCAUAUAUGACUGACAGAAAUGAUAUUGAAAUCCUAUUUUCAUGGUCUCGGGCUCUUUAAGCACAAAACUAAAUGGACAAGUAUGAAUAAUUGGCAACUGUGAGUCCGUGAAAGUUGUGAUGUGAGAAAGACAAGUCAGUAAGUCAAAGAGGUGGUAAAUGGAGUUUCUAAUCUGAUAAGGGAGUUGUGACAUCACUAUGGGCCUUAGAAUCCUCAUGUGUACAAUGGGAACAGUACUGCAGCCUAUCUUAUGGAGUCAUUAUCUUGAUUCUGACUUUAUAUGAGUAAAGUGCUAAGAAUAGUGCCUGCCAUGGAAGUACUCAGUUAUUAUUAUUGCUGAAAAUUAUCUCUUAUGUGGACAUCCAAGAAUGUAUAGCCAUAGGAGCUCUAAAAAUUUAGACAAGGAGGAAAUCACGUCUAGCUGAAGUCAUCUGGGAAGGCUUCCUGGAGGAGGUGGGAUUGAUUUAUUUACUUAUUUAUUUUGCUUUUUAGGGGCACUCCUGUGGCAUAUGGAAUUUCCCAGGCUAGGGGUCAAAUCAGAGCUGCAUCUGCUGGCCUAUGCAACAGCAACAGCAACAUGGGAUCUGAGCCAUGACUACAACCUACAACACAGUUCAAGGCAACACUGGAUCUGUAAAUCAAUGAGUGGGGACAGGGAUGGAACCCGCAUCCUCAUGGUUACUAGUUGGGUUUGUUACUGCUGAGCCAUAAUGGGAACUCCCAGGAGGUGGGAUUUAAACAAGCCCUUAAUGAAUGGAGACAAUUCAACUAGGUAGAGAGAAGCAAGGGAAAUUAAUACUUUUGGGACUCCUCCCCCCAACACAUACAAAAAAAGGCAGAGAGGAGGAGGGGUAUAUCCUAUCAGGAAGAGACUUCAGGAGAGCAGAGGACUUGUGAAGGGAGCUAAUUGGUGACAAGUCUUGCAUGGUCCCCUGUCCUCUUGUGUCCUCCUUCCCCACAGGCUAGCACUAAUGCCCUGCCUUGCAUUGGGCUCUGGCCCAACUAUUCCCCUGAAAGAAAAUCCAUGCUGUCCUCUGAGAGACACUCCUAGCACCAUUCUGAAUCCUUUCUCUUCCCGAUGCCUAACAGGAAAAAUUACCUCACGGUAUGAUGAUUAUAGGGAGCUACAGAAUCCCCAUUCAUUCGUCUAGUAAAUCCCUACACAUGGAAUCAAAAGCUGUGAGUCUAUUUUGGGCAGUAGAGUGCUUAGGAAGAAAAGUGCAGGAAAUGUGAAAUGAGAAGAUGGCAGCAGAAUUCCCAUCUGUGCAGACACUGAAAGGCCCAGAUUACAGAACAUGAGAGAGAAAUGCGGUGAGUUCCCGCAGCGAUGGCUGGAUGGGCUCCAGCAUGGAGGCUGCAGAGGGCAGCAGCCAAAAUGGCUGCAAGGAUUUCAGAGACCAGGGUUCCCAGGCACCUUCCUCACACAGAUCUGUUUAAAGAGAAGAAAAUGUAUUUUUACAGAUGUUCCAUAGUCUGGUACUUCUUAGAGCCCUUACAAUUUUGAAG
RNAcentral lists this long non-coding RNA (3631 nucleotides) under Sus scrofa (pig). Its description in RNAcentral is "lncRNA (ENSSSCG00000056901.1)". Lineage: Eukaryota; Metazoa; Chordata; Mammalia; Artiodactyla; Suidae. The record is from RNAcentral.